GGCGGGAGGAGCCUCCGGGAAAUCUGCUUUUGUUCAUGCAUGCAGCAGACUUGGAGAAGCUGAUUUGUCACCACCUCCAGUAGUAGAGUUCCAUUAGUUCAAACCAGUCAAAUCAUGGCAUUUCCCUGUAAACUCUUAUUUGUACCGAUCAGAUUUGAAGGGAAGUAGACAUUCUGUUUCUGGGGGAGAAGAUUCUUUCCUCUCUUGUAUGUGAACAAGGGAACACAAGGCCCCUAUUGCUACCGACAGCUGUCUUGGGAUCACAAGGGAUGAAGCACUUCCUGAAGAUGGCAGAUCAGAGAGGUAGAGGGUAUCUGGAUCCUUGGUAACAUCAUUUAACCACAUAUUUUAUUGGGCCUGGAGCCAUCCCCACCACAGGACUUCUCAUGACAGAUAAUUUUCUUAAUGUUUCAGACAGUUCUUUGGAGUUAUUUGCCAUCAAAAAUCUCUUUUUUUUUUUUUUGAGACAGGGUCUCGCUCUGUCACCCAGGCUGGAGUGCAGUGAUACAAUCACAGCUCACUCCAACCUUGACCUCUUGGGUUCAGCAGUCCUCCUGCUUCAGGCUUCUGAGAAGUAGCCACCACACCUGGCUACUUUAAAAAAAUUAUUUGUAGAGGCAGGGUCUCCCUGUAUUGCCCAGGCGUCUUGAACUCCUGGUCUCAAGUGAUCCUCCCACCUCAGUCUCCCAAAGUGUUGGGAUUACAGGUGUGAACCACUGCACCUGGCCCAAAAUCUCUUGAUUGAUACAGUCCUCUUUAUUUUUCAAGAUCAAGUUAUGAUACCUUUACCAACAGUCAUACAUUCUUUUGGAACUUUGCACAAUAGUCAUAUGUUCUUUUAGAACUUUACACUUCUAUUCUUUAUUGCCCUGUAUUAUAAUUGCUUGUAUGCCUGACUCCUCUACAUGACUGUAUGGUUUGAACCAAAGUGUACGGGAUGUCGCACAGUGUCUAAUAGUGUCACACAACAAGUAAUAGGUAUUCAGUAAGUGAGUUAAGAUGAAAUAGUAACAUGAAAGAGUGCUUUGAAA
Molecule: long non-coding RNA, 1031 nt
Filed under: Homo sapiens (human)
Lineage: Eukaryota; Metazoa; Chordata; Mammalia; Primates; Hominidae
Description: HSALNT0214920
Source: RNAcentral